This 27-nucleotide non-coding RNA is filed under the name Rattus norvegicus (Norway rat). The record is from RNAcentral. Lineage: Eukaryota; Metazoa; Chordata; Mammalia; Rodentia; Muridae.
UGUCAUAUUGUGAUGAAUGGUGUCUGC